UUGGGGCAAAUUUGGGGGGUUUUGGGGGGUAAAUGAGGGGAUUUGGGGGAGAAAUAGGGGCAUUUUGGUGGGAAAUGGGGACAGUUUGGGGCAGAACUUGGAUUUUUGGGGCACCUUUUGGACCCAAAUUGUCCCCAAUUUGCCCCAAAUUCGCACUUUUUUGCUCCCAAACCGCCCUUAUUUUGCCCCAAAAUGCCCAAUUGUGCCCCAAAAAUCCCAGUUCUGCCCCAAAAUUUCACAAUUUUGACCCAACAUUGCAAUUUUUGCCCCCAAAUUGACCCCAUUUUGCCCCAAAAUGCCCAAAUGUGCCCCAAAUUUUCCCCAUUUUGCCCCAAAAUUGCACCAUUUUUUGCCCCCAAACCGCCCUCAUUUUCCCCCAAAAUGUCCAAUUGUGCCCCAAAAUCGCAAUUUUUGCCCCCAAAUUGACCCCAUUUUGCCCCAAAAUGCCCAAAUGUGCCCCAAAUUUUCCCCAUUUUGCCCCAAAAUUGCACCAUUUUUUGCCCCCAAACCGCCCUCAUUUUCCCCCAAAAUGUCCAAUUGUGCCCCAAAAUCGCAAUUUUUGCCCCCAAAUUGUCCCCAUUUUGCCCCAAAAUGGCCCAAAUGUGCCCCAAAAAUCCCAGUUCUGCCCCAAAAUGGCAACAUUUUGACCCAAAAUUGCAAUUUUUGCCCCCAAAUCGACCCCAUUUUGCCCCAAAAUGCCCAAUUGUGCCCCAAAAAUCCCAGUUCUGCCCCAAAAUCGCCAUUUUUGCCCCCAAAUUUUCCCCAUUUUGCCCCCAAAUGUGCCCCAAAAAUCCCAAUUUUGACCCCAAAUCGCACUUUUUUGCCCCCAAAUUUUCCCCAUUUUGCCCCAAAACGGCGCCUUUGGGACCCGAAUUUUCCCCGUUUCGCCCCAAAAGUGGGAGCCGAGGAUUUUUGGGGUGAAAAAGGAGGAUUUUGGGCUCAGACCCGGCGCUCCGUGGGCCGCAGCGCGCAGCAGUUUGUCCAGCUGGUACCGCAGGCGUUGCUCCAGGGGGCGGAGCUUCUCCAGCACCACUCGGCUCUCCAGGAGGCGUGGCAGCGGAGCGUCCACCCAGACCACACAAGCCGC
This 1087-nucleotide long non-coding RNA is filed under the name Chrysolophus pictus (golden pheasant). Its description in RNAcentral is "lncRNA (ENSCPIG00010014560.1)". The record is from RNAcentral. Lineage: Eukaryota; Metazoa; Chordata; Aves; Galliformes; Phasianidae.